CACCGUCCAAGCCUUGCUUGGUGUUGGGACCUGCGAGGCGCCUUCAGCGGCCUUCGCAGCCCCGAAAUGCAGUGGCGGCCCCCAGCGCGGGCUUUUCCUUAGCGCAGUAGAGUUUUCACGCUACGCUUCGGGACGCCUGGGACGCCUGCCGUAAAACAGCAGACCUCUCUCCCUCGAGAGUCGCUCACCUCCUCAGG
This 197-nucleotide unclassified non-coding RNA is filed under the name uncultured Pleurothecium. Its description in RNAcentral is "sequence contains ITS2". Lineage: Eukaryota; Fungi; Ascomycota; Sordariomycetes. The record is from RNAcentral.